GGCUGGUCCGAAGGUAGUACGCUAUCUUACUUGAUUGUUCACAGUCAGUUACAGAUUGUACUCCUGUUCUACUACUUCCCCCCUCCUAACUACUGCACUUGACUAGUCUAAA
RNAcentral lists this Y RNA (112 nucleotides) under Microcebus murinus (gray mouse lemur). Its description in RNAcentral is "Y RNA (ENSMICG00000044419.1)". It matches the Rfam family "Y RNA". Rfam says of the family: Y RNAs are components of the Ro ribonucleoprotein particle (Ro RNP), in association with Ro60 and La proteins. The Y RNAs and Ro60 and La proteins are well conserved, but the function of the Ro RNP is not known. In humans the RNA component can be one of four small RNAs -- hY1, hY3, hY4 and hY5. The record is from Rfam by way of RNAcentral. Lineage: Eukaryota; Metazoa; Chordata; Mammalia; Primates; Cheirogaleidae.